Andrographis paniculata is the source of this 1132-nucleotide RNA transcript. RefSeq lists it as uncharacterized. Lineage: Eukaryota; Viridiplantae; Streptophyta; Magnoliopsida; Lamiales; Acanthaceae. The transcript is spliced from 4 exons. The record is from RefSeq and is a predicted model, not a curated record.
GUGGUGUGAUUCUAGGGUUAAGCAUAUGUAUAUAAAUUCACCGAUAUCGUUUCUUCGACGGUAGGGUUUUGAUCUGCACGCGCACCUCUUCGCCAAAAUUCUCUUCUCGCCAUGGGAGGAAGGAAGAGGAAAUCCGAUGCCUCGCGCCUCGACGAGGUCGAUCGUCUUAUGUACACCAGUUUCUGCAGCGCCGCUAAUUCCCUUUCCCAGCUCUACACCCAUGCGAUGCACAAGCAGAAGCUCUCUUUCCAGGCCGGUGAACGCCACGCCUUGGAUAAGCUUUACAGUUGGCUCUUGAGACAGCAAGAGAACGGCGCCAGAGUGACGACUGGUGAUAUAUUCACAUAUAUUCAGAAUGAACUCGAUAAUGGAACAGAGGAGCCUCCACCAUCCCCGAGGCUUCCAGUCCCGCAACAACAACAACCACCUCAAACUUUGAUGCAGUUACCUCAGUCAGGACUCCCUGUAGUAUCUUCGAAUGCAUUUGGUCCCAUGACUGUUGGACAAGGAGUUCGCUCGGGGAACUCUGAUCAGACCAAGAACUCUGUUUUCUCAAAUGCCCUCUCCAGCCCAGUUCGCCGAAGUCUCCAGAACUAUCACUUAUCUCAGGGAGGUUACUCGGCUAACAAUGGGAAUCGAGGCAAUGAGAACAAUACCAAUCCCACCAAUCCUCCAAGUUCCAAUGAUACUUCCAUGGAUAUGCAUCCCGACAGCCCGGGCCACGAUUCUCCUUACUGAAACCGAUCCCCCGUCCCGUGUGAAAAAGAGAAUAACAUGGAAAGAUAGGAGUGUAAAGAAAGAUUGAUAGUUGUGUGAGGAAGGAGCAUGGUUUUGUAUUUAAGCAAGGUGAAUGGAUGCUUACAGUAUGAAGCAGACAAUGGAUGGAUGGAUGGAAUGGUGGAUGGAGAAAGAAAGAGACAAGUUUGUGUUUCUCACUCUGUAUAUUCUGGAAAAUGAAAAAUCAUUUUAUAGUCUGUACUCUACUUCAAUGUGAGUUUAAUUGAGUUCAGAGUUUCACCUGACAGUUUAUAUGUUGUGUUUGCUUUUGGUUUGAAAUAUCUAUGCUGUUUUAAAUGACUCUGUAUCUAAAAAUUUUGGAGUAGAAUAUAGUUGUUUCAUAUUUUCUCAUUCA